AGAGUUUGAUCAUGGCUCAGGAUGAAUGCUGGCGGCGUGCCUAAUACAUGCAAGUCGAGCGGUAAGGCCCGUUCGGGGUACACGAGCGGCGGACGCUGAGUAACGCGUGGGAACAUGCCCCAAAGUGAGGGAUAACGCACCGAAAGGUGUGCUAAUACCGCAUAUGGUCUUCGGAUUAAAGGUAUUUAUCCGCUUUGGGAGUGGCCUGCGUACGAUUAGAUUGUUGGUGAGGUAACGGCUCACCAAGUCGACGAUCGUUAAACUGGUCUGAGAGGAUGAUCAGUCAGACUGGAACUGAGACACGGUCCAGACUCCUACGGGAGGCAGCAGUAAGGAAUCUUCCACAAUGGGCGAAAGCCUGAUGGAGCAACGCCGCGUGCAGGAUGAAGGCCCUCGGGUCGUAAACUGCUUUAUGAGUGAAGAAUAUGACGGUAACUCAUGAAUAAGCACCGGCUAACUACGUG
This 464-nucleotide ribosomal RNA is filed under the name uncultured bacterium. Its description in RNAcentral is "bacterial SSU rRNA". It matches the Rfam family "Bacterial small subunit ribosomal RNA", at positions 8 to 507 of the family's 1533-position model. The record is from RNAcentral.